CAGAACAUUUUACACUAAACACUGUUUCACCUCACUGAAGAUCAGGAUCACGUGAAACUCCUGGAGAACAGAGCGUAAAGCGGUGUACCACUGAUGAUGUGAUAAAGCUUUAAGCCUGUAAGAUGAGGUGUUGAGUGAGGGGGCGGAGCUGAGUGUGUGUACAGAGUAGAGAGGAUCAGCACACUGUCAUGCUGGUGUACUAAAGAGUCAGUGUGUUCUUCUCCCAGUGUGUGCUACACCACCAUGAUCAUUUUCACUGUACUGCUGCUCUCUGCUCUUACAGGUAACAGAGCUGAAGACGUCAUCACUCCUAGCAGAGACGCUGUUUUUGCUGUUGAAGGUCAGAAUGUUUCCCUCUCCUGUAACUACACUGUAACUGGAGCUGUAAACAGUUAUGCUUUUCACUGGUAUCGACAGUAUUCAGGAUCAUCUCCUCAGUUCCUCAUACUGGACUAUGCAGGGAGCAUUACUGAAGCUCAACCUCCAGUUCCUAGAAUAUCCAUCAACCAUCAAAAAGAAAAAAGGAAAGUGGAUCUGAUCAUCUCCUCUACUGCAGUAUCAGACUCUGCUCUCUACUACUGCGCUCUGCAGCCCACAGUGACAGAAACCCACCAAACACUGUACUAAAACUUUACUUGUGAAAUAUGUAGAAACACUUAUAUUUCAGGAGGGGGCGCUGUUUCUCUUCUGCUUCUUUAUCUUCAGCUUCCUCACCAUUCAGGUUAGAACAUCAGUCUGCUUUGGGACAUCAGUCAUCAUGUUGUGAACUACAGUAAAGUGGAACUCUCUAUAACCCUUUAUAAAUGUUUACAGAUACUUCUGUAAAA
Non-coding RNA from Astyanax mexicanus (Mexican tetra), 827 nucleotides. The record is from the annotation of a RefSeq genome assembly. Lineage: Eukaryota; Metazoa; Chordata; Actinopteri; Characiformes; Acestrorhamphidae.